ACGUAGGUGGCAAGCGUUGUCCGGAAUUACUGGGUGUAAAGGGAGCGUAGGCGGGAAUACAAGUUGAAUGUGAAAACUAUGGGCUCAACCCAUAGUUGCGUUCAAAACUGUGUUUCUUGAGUGAAGUAGAGGUAAGCGGAAUUCCUAGUGUAGCGGUGAAAUGCGUAAAUAUUAGGAGGAACACCAGUGGCGAAGGCGGCUUACUGGGCUUUAACUGACGCUGAGGCUCGAAAGCGUGGGUAGCAAACAG
This 250-nucleotide ribosomal RNA is filed under the name uncultured bacterium. RNAcentral describes it as "partial 16S ribosomal RNA". It matches the Rfam family "Bacterial small subunit ribosomal RNA", at positions 525 to 775 of the family's 1533-position model. The record is from RNAcentral.